CCCUUAGAGUUCGAUCCUGGCUCAGGAUGAACGCUAGCGACAGGCUUAACACAUGCAAGUCGAGGGGCAGCACAGGUAGCAAUUCCGGGUGGCGACCGGCGCACGGGUGAGUAACGCGUAUGCAACUUACCUAUCAGAGGGGGAUAACCCGGCGAAAGUCGGACUAAUACCGCAUGAAGCAGGGGCCCCGCAUGGGGAUAUUUGCUAAAGAUUCAUCGCUGAUAGAUAGGCAUGCGUUCCAUUAGGCAGUUGGCGGGGUAACGGCCCACCAAACCGACGAUGGAUAGGGGUUCUGAGAGGAAGGUCCCCCACAUUGGUACUGAGACACGGACCAAACUCCUACGGGAGGCAGCAGUGAGGAAUAUUGGUCAAUGGCCGAGAGGCUGAACCAGCCAAGUCGCGUGAGGGAUGAAGGUUCUAUGGAUCGUAAACCUCUUUUAUAAGGGAAUAAAGUGCGGGACGUGUCCCGUUAGUAUGUACCUAUAAUAGCAUCGGC
RNAcentral lists this ribosomal RNA (496 nucleotides) under uncultured bacterium. RNAcentral describes it as "bacterial SSU rRNA". It matches the Rfam family "Bacterial small subunit ribosomal RNA", at positions 1 to 497 of the family's 1533-position model. The record is from RNAcentral.